AGCGAACGCUGGCGGCAGGCCUAACACAUGCAAGUCGAACGGAUCCUUCGGGAUUAGUGGCGGACGGGUGAGUAACACGUGGGAACGUGCCCUUUGGUUCGGAACAACUCAGGGAAACUUGAGCUAAUACCGGAUGUGCCCUUCGGGGGAAAGAUUUAUCGCCAUUGGAGCGGCCCGCGUCUGAUUAGCUAGUUGGUGAGGUAACGGCUCACCAAGGCGACGAUCAGUAGCUGGUUUGAGAGGAUGAUCAGCCACACUGGGACUGAGACACGGCCCAGACUCCUACGGGAGGCAGCAGUGGGGAAUGUUGCGCAAUGGGCGAAAGCCUGACGGAGCCAGGCCGCGUGAAUGAUGAGGGUCUGAGGAUUGUAAAAUUCUUUCAGCGGUGACGAUAAUGACGGUACCCGCAGAAGAAGCUCCGGCUAACUUCGUG
This 433-nucleotide ribosomal RNA is filed under the name uncultured bacterium. RNAcentral's name for it is "partial 16S ribosomal RNA". It matches the Rfam family "Bacterial small subunit ribosomal RNA", at positions 29 to 507 of the family's 1533-position model. The record is from RNAcentral.